UCCUACGGGAGGCAGCAGUAGGGAAUUUUCGUCAAUGGGCGCAAGCCUGAACGAGCAAUGCCGCGUGAACGAGGAAGGUCUUCGGAUCGUAAAGUUCUGUUGCAGGGGAAAAAGAGCGGAGAGAGGAAAUGGUCUCCGAUUGAUAUUACCCUUCGAGGAAGUCACGGCCAACUACGUGCCAGCAGCCGCGGUAAUACGUAGGUGGCGAGCGUUAUCCGGAAUGAUUGGGCGUAAAGGGUGCGUAGGCGGCCUGCUAAGUCUGGAGUGAAAGGUACCGGCUCAACCGGUACAGGCUCUGGAAACUG
RNAcentral lists this ribosomal RNA (305 nucleotides) under uncultured bacterium. RNAcentral describes it as "bacterial SSU rRNA". It matches the Rfam family "Bacterial small subunit ribosomal RNA", at positions 337 to 635 of the family's 1533-position model. The record is from RNAcentral.